AUUAUGGCUCAGGAUGAACGCUGGCGGCGUGCCUAACACAUGCAAGUCGAACGAAGCACUUUACCGAGGAAGAGGAGAGCUUGCUCGAAUCGGACUCACUUAAAGUGACUUAGUGGCGGACGGGUGAGUAACGCGUGGGUAACCUGCCCCGCACCGGGGGGAUAACAGCCGGAAACGGCCGCUAAUACCGCAUGAGCGCACGGCACCGCAUGGUGCAGUGUGAAAAACUCCGGUGGUGCGGGAUGGACCCGCGUCUGAUUAGCCAGUUGGCAGGGUAACGGCCUACCAAAGCGACGAUCAGUAGCCGGCCUGAGAGGGUGAGCGGCCACAUUGGGACUGAGACACGGCCCAAACUCCUACGGGAGGCAGCAGUGGGGAUAUUGCACAAUGGGGGAAACCCUGAUGCAGCCGACGCCGCGUGAGCGAAGAAGUAUCUCGGUAUGUAAAGCUCUAUCGGCAGGGAAGAAGAUGACGGUACCUGACUAAGAAGCUCCGGCUAAAUACGUGCCAGCCGCUGC
RNAcentral lists this ribosomal RNA (518 nucleotides) under uncultured bacterium. Its description in RNAcentral is "bacterial SSU rRNA". It matches the Rfam family "Bacterial small subunit ribosomal RNA", at positions 16 to 518 of the family's 1533-position model. The record is from RNAcentral.